This 253-nucleotide ribosomal RNA is filed under the name uncultured bacterium. RNAcentral's name for it is "partial 16S ribosomal RNA". It matches the Rfam family "Bacterial small subunit ribosomal RNA", at positions 524 to 776 of the family's 1533-position model. The record is from RNAcentral.
UACGGAGGGGGCUAGCGUUGUUCGGAAUUACUGGGCGUAAAGCGCACGUAGGCGGCUUUGUAAGUUAGAGGUGAAAGCCCGGAGCUCAACUCCGGAAUUGCCUUUAAGACUGCACCGCUAGAAUUGUGGAGAGGUGAGUGGAAUUCCGAGUGUAGAGGUGAAAUUCGUAGAUAUUCGGAAGAACACCAGUGGCGAAGGCGACUCACUGGACACAUAUUGACGCUGAGGUGCGAAAGCGUGGGGAGCAAACAGG